Molecule: ribosomal RNA, 380 nt
Filed under: uncultured eukaryote
Lineage: Eukaryota
Description: partial 18S ribosomal RNA
Rfam family: Eukaryotic small subunit ribosomal RNA
Source: RNAcentral
CAAUAGCGUAUAUUAAAGUUGUUGCGGUUAAAAAGCUCGUAGUUGGAUUUCUGCUGAGAACGACCGGUCCGCCCUUUGGGUGUGUAUCUGGCUCUUUCUUGGCAUCUUCUUGGUGAACGUUGCUGCACUUGACUGUGUGGAGCGCUACCCAGGACUUUUACUUUGAGGAAAUUAGAGUGUUUCAAGCAGGCAUACGCCUUGAAUACAUUAGCAUGGAAUAAUAAGAUAGGACCUCGGUUCUAUUUUGUUGGUUUCUAGAGCUGAGGUAAUGAUUAAUAGGGAUAGUUGGGGGCAUUCGUAUUUAACUGUCAGAGGUGAAAUUCUCGGAUUUGUUAAAGACUAACUUAUGCGAAAGCAUUUGCCAAGGAUGUUUUCAUUAA